Non-coding RNA from Lepisosteus oculatus (spotted gar), 377 nucleotides. The record is from RefSeq and is a predicted model, not a curated record. Lineage: Eukaryota; Metazoa; Chordata; Actinopteri; Semionotiformes; Lepisosteidae.
GGUGACUCCAGGCGGUAUUGAUCCAGGGAGUGAGUGGGCAGUAUUGAUUGAGGUACAUACUGGGUGGUACUGAUCAGGGGAGAUACUGGGCAGUAUUGAUCUAGGGAGUGAGUGGGCAGUAUUGAUCCAGGUACAUACUGGGUGGUACUGAUCAGGGGAGAUACAGGGCAGUAUUGAUCCAGGGAGAUACUGGGCAGUAUUGAUUGAGGGUAAUAGUAGGCAGUAUUGAUCCAGGGAGUGAGCGGGCAGUAUUGAUCGAGGUAGAUACUGGGUACUAUAGAUCAAGGGAGAUAAUGGGUAGUAUUGAUCCAGGGAAAUACAGCGGUAUUGAUCCAGUGAGAUACUGGGCAGUAUUGAUCCAGGGAGAUACCGGGCAG